ACAGAUGAGACCUGUCUCAAAAAACAAAAAACAAAAAAAACAAAAAAGAAAACAAAAAAAGAAUUGUGGGAGAAGAUGGUGGCUGCUGCACAAUCCUGGGUUCCCGGGCCCUGCCAAUGUCAUGUUCUGCCAUUACUGCAAUAGCCACAUCUGUGUGUCACGGCCCACUCCAUUGCCAGCUUCAUCAUGCCCUCAUACCUCAUGAGGUGGACGUUCCUCAGUCAGUGGGAUUGUGGCCACUGUGUUUGGAGCAACAGGAUUCCUGGGCCAAUGUGUUGUCAACCACCUUGGACGUAUGGGGUCACAGGUGAUCAUUCCCUAUCGGUGUGAUACGUAUGACAUCAUGCACCUUCGUCCCAUGGGUGACCUGGGCUAGCUUCUGUUUCUGGAAUGGGACGCGAGAGAUAAAGAUUCUAUCCGACGAGUAGUGGAACACAGCAAUGUGGUCAUCAAUCUUGUUGGAUGAGACUGGGAAAUCAAAAGCUUUGAUUUUGAGGAUGUUUUUGUGAAGAUCCCCCAAGCAAUUGCUCAGGUGUCCAAGGAAGUCGAAGUUGGAAAAUUCAUUCAUGUUUCGCAUCUGAAUGCGAAUAUUAAAAGCUCUUCUAGGUAUUUGAGAAAUAAGGCUGUUGGAGAGAAAGCAGUGAGAGAUGCAUUUCCAGAAGCCAUUAUCAUAAAGCUGUUGGACAUCUUUGGAAGAGAGGAUAGAUUCCUUAAUUAUUUUGCAAAUAUGUGUUGGUUUGGUGCUAUACCCCUUGUUUCCUUGGGCUGGAAGGCAGUUAAACAACCGCUAUGUCGUAGAUGUAUCCAAAGGAAUUGUUAAUGCAGUUAAGGAUCCUGAUGCCCGUGGGAAAACCUUUGCUUUCAUUGGGCCAGAUGGGUACCUCCUCUUUGACCUGGUGAAGUACAUCUUUGCUGUAGCUCACAGACUCUUCCUCCCGUACCCCUUGCCACGUUUUGCCUAUCAGUGGGUAGCAAGAGACUUUGAAAUAAGCCCAUUUGAGCCCUGGACAACAAGGGAUAAAGUGGAGCGGAUUCACAUCACAGACGUGACAUUGUCUCACCUGCCCAGCUUAGAAGACCUUGGUAUUCAGGCACCACCACUGGAACUCAAGGCCAUCGAGGUGCUGCGGCGUCAGCGCACUUACUGCUGGCUGGCUGCUGAAAUUGAGGAUGUGAAACCGGCCAAGACCGUCACCAUUUAGUGCCUCCUGAGUAACUCUUGGUUUUGGUGUCUUUUGGGUCAGCCCAUGUGGUUUGAGCACCUAGCCAGGUGGUCUCUUUAGAGAAUCCUGUACACAGUGAAUAGGAUUUCACCAUUGAGGUUUAAAAAAAAAAGAAUGAGUGUCGAGUAAUAACAGACUCUUCAAAGAGUUCGAAAAAAUGAAUCUCUUGUCAGUGUAAUUUUAAUAUAGUUAUUUAGAGUAUAGUAUAGGGAGUGUUGGUGACUUAAGAUUUAGGGCAUGAGCUGUGAAACUAGAGAGGGAAAUUGUGUUUAAAAACUGAUUAUGGACAUGUAAAAGAGUCUAAGUAACAUUUUAUGGGAAGUCAAGAUUUAUUUUUCUUUUUUAUUUAGAAAACGGGCUGUCUCAGUUUCAGUCUUGGAAGUUCUUUCUCCUCUUUUGUACUAGAAAUGUGGUAAUCUUGCCUUCAGAAGAAGCAGAGAGGUUCUCUGUAGAGAAAAAGAAAAGGUUCGGGUGGGGCCAAGAAGAAUACCUGCCCCACCUCUCCAAGUUUAAGUGAGCUGGCAGUUUAAGGUGGGAGGAGAGAAAAGGUUCUUCUGCGGAAAGCAUGCGUUCAGUGUGGAAGAAAAGGAAAAGUGAUUCUAUUUCUACCCUAAGAGGAAGAAACCCCACUACGGCGGGUAACUAAGCCCAGAGCACGCACAGUGGGAAUAUUAGGUAGGGAGAGUGAAAGUACCUGCAUGGGGCCUACCUUGAGUGUGAGACUUGUAGACCUUACUUGGAGAUUUUAUAAGCAGGAAGGAGCUGUUUCAACAUGUCUGAGGGGGAGCCAAAACCCUGAGGCAGCUGAAAGGUGGUUUUUAUUUGCUUUUUAUUUAUUUUUUAUUUUUUGUUUUUUCUUUAAUAAGUGGGAAGGAGUGGAAUAUUCCUCAAAACCUAUUACCCUUUGAGAAUGUUUUUUGCACCUACUAUGUGCUAGGUACUAUGCAAAAGACUCCAUGGCCAAAAAUAGAUGAGUCAAGACGAGAUGUUAGGUCUCCACCAAGGAAGAUGUGCAAAGGAGAAGUGGUUUGCUAUAGGAAUACUUGGAGAAGUAGCCCGCAGAGGUGGUCAGUGCCAUGUUACAAACACCAGGCCCCACAGAGAAAGGAGAGCUCACUCGCAGCUGGGGUGUGCUUUUGGAUUUGAACAUGGAGAAAUGGCUCAGGGAAGCAAGGAACAUGGGCCUUGACAUUGGCAUUAGAAUAUGGGGGAUAAUUACGUGAUUUUCUGAAUAAAAACCAUUAGGACAGGUGAUUUGAUAAUACUUGUUCACCACUGGGCAUAAUGAAUAAAAACUUGCCUGGCAAUAGGAGGCACUUAAUAAAUGUUUGAACUGAACUGAAAUUAGAAAACAUGGUCACCAGGAACAUGGCAGACCGUUUACGUAGUUAUAUCAUUCCAACACCUCUGAAAGGAGUAUUAUACCUAUUUUUUGGUUGAGGAAACAGAAGCCUGGACAGGCUGGAAACUUUCCCCAGGCCAUAAUGAUAUUACUUGUAGAUCUAGAAUUGACACCCAGGCCGUGCACCUUAGCCUGCCUACGUGGUGAGUAAAGUGUCUGUACCAUGCUAGGAGCUCAUGAUCCACUUGACUCUUUCAGAAGCCCGGCUAUGUUGAUCUGAACUAGGGCAGUAGUAAUAAAAAAGAUGAAAAGCCUAUUCAGUUUUAUAUCUUAAGUUUUCUUGUGUUUUAAAAUCUUGUAAGAUUAAGAAUUAUUAGUGGUGAAAUGACAUAAAGAAUAGUGGUGUCCAGCAGACAUUGUGAGAAAGGAAUGUGGGCUCUGAGCAGGUUCUGUGUGUGUGCUUGGCUUCUGCAAGGGGCUCCACAGUUGGGGCAGAGGGAAAGCUUGGCUCACUCACCUGGAUCUUAGAGGGCAGAGAUUUUUGAUUGCUUCAUUCAUGUUUAAAGAACUCAUCUUAAACUAAUGUAUAUCUAGCACUAGAAACUGGUGCUGGUGGUUUAUAACUGACCCCACCCAUCCCUGUCUUUUGCAAUAAUCUUUGUGAGUGGUGAUUGUGUUUCUAGAAGUAGAAUUACAGAGAGAGAUUCCCUGAAGGCAAAUACAGAGCGAGUGUGCUGUACACUCUAGUUCAGAUACUCAGGGCUGGGAACUCCCAGAGAGAGAGAGAGAGAGAGAGAGAGAGAGAGAGAGAGAAA
Molecule: non-coding RNA, 3380 nt
Organism: Macaca mulatta (Rhesus monkey)
Lineage: Eukaryota; Metazoa; Chordata; Mammalia; Primates; Cercopithecidae
Source: RefSeq, a predicted model, not a curated record